CAAUCACCAACCAACCAACCAAUCACCAACCAACUAAUCACCAACCAACCAAUCACCAAUCAACCAAUCAACCAAGACAAGGCCGAUAUUUUAGCCAAAAUGCUGUAUUUAUUGAAUUUACAGUGAUACAGUUGAUAUUAUUUCUCCAGAUAAUAAACAGGAUUACAUCCUGAUGUAGCACAGUAUUAUUCUCUUUGACAAGGCAAUCAGUCAUUUCUACAUUCAGUGUCAACAAACUCUGAGCCCCAAAUGGCACCCUAUUCCCUAUGUAGGGCACUACUUUAGACUAGAGUCAUAUGGACCCUGGUCUAUAUAGGGAGAAGGGUGUCAUUUGGGAUGGAUCCUACAGUAUCCCUCUCUCUCUAACUCUCUCUUUCUUAAGUGGCUUGGGGCUCAGAGAGAAACUCUUAAAGGGGGGAGAAGGGCAGAGGGAUGAGGGGUGGAGGGAUGGAGGGAUGGGGUGGAGGGAUGGCAGGACAGAAGGGUGGAGGCAUGGAGGGAGAGAAGGGUGGAGGCAUGGAGGGAGAGAAGGGUGGAGGCAUGGAGGGGUGGAGGGAUGGAGAGAAGGAUGGAGGGAUGGAGCGAGAGAAGGAUGGAGGAUGGAGAGAUGGAGGGAGAGAAGGGUGGAGGGAUGUAUGUAAGACAGGAUGACAGUCGACAGCCUUAAAUAAGGCCUGAGGGGAGGAAAGGAAAAGAGUUGCCACACAGUCUACAGUGUGUGGAGAGAAAUGUGAAGCUAGCCCUCUAUGCGAAACUGAAUAAGCCCCCAGGCUGAGUCUCCCGGGUAGGAAAUUGGCUAACAGUGUUAGCGAGCCAAGAGCAACCUUCUGGCUUGGUCUUUAUGUUUCAUUUAGAUCUUAUUUGCUACAUGCACACAAAGUCAAUGGAACUCUUCAGCACGUUUUACAUAGAACCACUGGCCGUGUUCUAGAACUUCUAGUGUUCUACAGUAGAAUUCUCUGGCUGUGUUCUAGAACAUAGUAGAGUCACCUAGCUAGCUAAUACAGUGGUUCUCAAUCCUGGUCCUGGGGACCCAAAGGGGGACACAUUUCUGUUUUUGCUCUAGCACUACACACCUGAUUCAAAUCAUCCAAGCUUGAUGAUCAGUUGAUCAUUUUAAAAUCAGCAAAAACUAAAAUGUGUCCCCCUUCGGGACCCCAGGACCAGGAUUGAGAACCACUGAUUGAACAGAUAAGGUGACACUAUAAACUAUUUAAAAAGUGGAAUAAAAACAGGGUGAUGAAAGUGCAAUCACUUUAAAAAUGAUUAAAAACUUAAAACUCAGCGUUUAAAAAUACUUUAAAAAAACAUUCUCAUCAGAACAAGUGUGUUAAACAUACUGGUCUGUUUCUCAGAGCAAUAUAGACCAGAUUACUACUGAGAUCAUUGUACACACACUCAUCAAAUCAAACUAAUAUUUUAUGCCCAAACUAAUGCUCCGAUGUACAUAAAUAGAUAUAAAUUGGGAUAUUAUAAAGACAACUUUUCAGGUCCCAAAGCACCCUGGAACUUUAACUUAAAAAAGUGGUCUUCUCCCCUAUAGUACCCUAGCAAUGGUCCUGUGAACCAUACAUAAAACACGGAGCAUUCAACACGGAAAAUGUUAAAAAACUUACAAAUUCACCCUCACAACCAAAAGAGUUGUACCCCCCCAACCUGACUAUCAAUUAUCACAAAAAAAAGGUACAUUUCUUCUUAUUUUUUUAUUACAAGUCUUAGAAUGUUAAAAUAAACAAUGAUGGUGAAUAUACACAUUGAGGGGGACAUUAAACCAAGAUGGACAGGCAGCAAGCGUCAGCGGUGGAGGAGAGGAAGGGGGACGAGAGGUGAGGAAGGGGGAUGAGAGGUGAGGAAGAGGGAGGCAGCAAGCGUCAGCGGUGGAGGAGAGGAAGGGGGACGAGAGGUGAGGUAGAGGGAGGAGAGGGAGGCAGCAAGCGUCAGCGGUGGAGGAGAGGAAGGGGGACGAGAGGUGAGGAAGAGGGAGGCAGCAAGCGUCAGCGGUGGAGGAGAGGAAGGGGGACGAGAGGUGAGGAAGAGGGAGGCAGCAAGCGUCAGCGGUGGAGGAGAGGAAGGGGGACGAGAGGUGAGGAAGAGGGAGGAGAGGAAGGCAGCAAGCGUCAGCGGUGGAGGAGAGGAAGGGGGACGAGAGGUGAGGAAGAGGGAGGAGAGGGAGGCAGCAAGCAUCAGCGGUGGAGGAGAGGAAGGGGGACGAGAGGUGAGGAAGAGGGAGGAGAGGGAGGCAGCAAGCAUCAGCGGUGGAGGAGAGGAAGGGGGACGAGAGGUGAGGAAGGGGGAUGAGAGGUGAGGAAGGGGGAUGAGAGGUGAGGAAGAGGGAUGAGAGGUGAGGAAGGAGAGGAAGAGAGGUGAGGAAGGAGAGGAAGAGAGGUGAGGAAGGAGAGGAAGAGAGGUGAGGAAGGGGGACAAGAGGCGAGGAAGGGGGACAAGAGGUGAGGAAGGGGGACAAGAGGUGAGGAAGGGGGACAAGAGGUGAGGAAGGAGAGGAAGAGAGAGGCAGCAAGUGUCAGCGGUGGAGGAGAGGUGAAAAAGGGGGAGGAGAGGUGAGGAAGGGGGACAAGAGGUGAGGAAGAGGGAGGAGAGGUGAGGAAGAGGGAGGAGAGGUGAGGAAGGAGAGGAAGAGAGGUGAGGAAGAGGGGAGGAGAGGUGAGGAAGGGGGAGGAGAGGUGAGGAAGGGGGAUGAGAGGUGAGGAAGGGGGAGGAGAGGUGAGGAAGGGGGAGGAGAGGUGAGGAAGGGGGAUGAGAGGUGAGGAAGGGGGACAAGAGGUGAGGAAGAGGGAGGAGAGGUGAGGAAGAGGGAGGAGAGGUGAGGAAGAGGGAUGAGAGGUGAGGAAGAGGGAUGAGAGGUGAGGAAGGGGGACAAGAGGUGAGGAAGAGGGAGGAGAGGUGAGGAAGAGGGAGGAGAGGUGAGGAAGAGGGAGGAGAGGUGAGGAAGGAGAGGAAGAGAGAGGCAGCAAGUGUCAGUGGUGAAAGAGAGGUGAAAAAGGGGGAGGAAGGUGAGGACAGAAAGAUUCCAAAAUGUCUUUCACUUCUAGAACAUCUCAAACACUUCCCCUGCUUCCACUAUGCCUCUUCCUCCUCUCCAUCCCUCCUUCCUGUCCAGGGACACCUUUAGUCAGUAGUACAGGUCAUGUAAAAUGACAACAACAUAGAAAUACAUUUACAGAUUAAUAAUACUAACAAUAUUAUAGCCACAGAAUAUUCUACAUGUACAGAUAACGUCUGCAUCCCAAAUGUAACCUAUUCCCUAUAUAGUGCACUACUUUUGGCCAGAGCCCAUAUAGAAAAGGGUGAAGGGUUUGGGACAUAGACCAACUUGUGACCAGUUCACAAGCAAAAACCAAACAAGGUGGUAAAGAAAUAGAUUGUUUUCAUACAGAAGAUAGAUGUUGGUAUGAUGUGACUGCUGGUUUCUUCUUGACACACACACACACACACACACACACACACACACACACACACACACCUGCCUUCUCACUUUCCCUUACAGCAUGUGUGUGUUUGCAGGUAGAUGAGAAGAAAGAAUGAAAGAGAGAGGGAAUGAAAGAGAGAGGUUGCAGUGUCCCUUGGUUUGUAGCUGUGCAACAGAGGCCGAAGGGAAAGAUGCCCACCUGUCAAGUCCACCUUUAAUUUAGACCUGGCACCAAGAGAAAGAGAGAGAGGAGGGAGAGAGACGGACCGACGGGGGGGAUUAGAGUGAGGCGAGGACAGAUACAGGGAAAGAGGAGGAGGGGGAAAAAAAAACUCUCCCUCUCUCUCUCGUUGGCUGUGAGCUUCACUGUAGCAGAGAUAGUAGAGAUGAGAACAGCUUAGAGACCAAAAAGCAGCCGUCAAUCCCCGGAGAUUAACACACACACACACGCGAUUUAAAAAUAAAUAAUAAUAUAGAAUCUGUAUAUGGUCUCCUAACCCAUCUCUCUAAUGACAACUGAACAGGAGGGAGGCAGAGGAUUAUUUUAGGUACUUAUUGACUUAAUCAGCAUCCCAAGUAGAACCCUACAUAGUGCACUACUUUUAUCCAGGGCACAUAGGGAUCUGGUCAAACGUAGUGCACUAUAUAGGGAAUAGGCUGCCAUUUGAGACACAUCCUUAGCCAAUACUACAGGGAACUAGACUGGCCCUAAAACCAACAGAGAGAGAGAGUUAGAGAGUUAGAGAGAGAGAGAGAGAGAGAGAGAGAGAGAGAGAGAGAGAGAGAGAGACAGAGACAGACAGAGACAGAGACAGACAGAGAGAGAGAGAGAGAGACAGAGAGACAGAGACAGAGAGAGAGAGAGAGAGAGAGAGACAGAGACAGACAGAGACAGAGACAGAGAGAGAGAGAGCGUACUGUACUUGUCUGUGUUUGUUGCGUGGUUCCUAGAAAACCACGGCCGGAGCAGUGCAUCACACACACAGAGUUGAUUAUAGUCCACAUAUGGGCAGACCCUGCCCCCACACCAGCGCAGGAUGUCAAUUGGAUGACUACAGGGGUCAGAGGUCAAUAACUCAUCCUGACCAAUGAUAGCUUGCUGUGUCUGUGACGUUAUUUCCACAUCAUCCCUCUUUCAUUAACGCUCUCUGUUCGUCCAUCCAUCAAUCCAUCCAUCCAUCCAUCCAUCCAUCCAUCCAUCCAAUGAAUGUAUCCCCCAGCCGCAGAUCAGGGGAUUAGUAUCUUAGCUAUUAUAUCAUGCAGCGUUAGCAUCAUGCUACACUAGCUCGGAGCUAGCGCUGCCCACAACUUCCUUCUGUAAACGUGGAACAUUUCAUUGUCUAGCCAACAGCAGAGAAUCUCAGUGAUAGAGGGGUAAACCACUCACUACCGCCGACACAACACCCCCAUCUGGCAGUCCAAUCUGUGUACUGCACCUCAACACAGACAGCCAAGAGUGUCGCAAAUGUUUUUGGUGCUGAGAUUCACUUUUUGGCUUUUCCUGACCCUCCAAUCUCGAAAGUCAAAACAUCGCCAACCAUUCAGAUAGUCCAAACAGAAACUACUCCAAGUUGAACCACCAGCUUUAAAUGUGGGACAGAUAGUGGUUAAGAGAAGCUACACUUUUAGUUUUGGGACAGAUAGUGGUUAAGAGAAGCUACACUUUUAGUUUUGGGACAGAUAGUGGUUAAGAGAAGCUACACUUUUAGUUUUGGGACAGAUAGUGGUUAAGAGAAGCU
This 5166-nucleotide long non-coding RNA is filed under the name Salmo salar (Atlantic salmon). RNAcentral's name for it is "lncRNA (ENSSSAG00000109603.1)". The record is from RNAcentral. Lineage: Eukaryota; Metazoa; Chordata; Actinopteri; Salmoniformes; Salmonidae.